RNAcentral lists this transfer RNA (73 nucleotides) under Chloroflexota bacterium. Its description in RNAcentral is "Chloroflexi bacterium (anaerobic digester metagenome) tRNA-Arg". It matches the Rfam family "tRNA". Rfam says of the family: Transfer RNA (tRNA) molecules are approximately 80 nucleotides in length. The record is from RNAcentral. Lineage: Bacteria; Bacillati; Chloroflexota.
GCCCUCGUAGCUCAGUGGACAGAGCGCAGCGUCGCGGACGCUGAGGCCACAGAUUCGAUUCCUGCCGAGGGUA